Molecule: ribosomal RNA, 334 nt
Filed under: uncultured bacterium
Lineage: Bacteria
Description: bacterial SSU rRNA
Rfam family: Bacterial small subunit ribosomal RNA
Source: RNAcentral
UUAAGUCAGAUGUGAAAGCCCCGGGCUUAACCUGGGAACUGCAUUUGAAACUGGUCAACUAGAGUAUGGUAGAGGAAAGUGGAAUUUCUGGUGUAGCGGUGAAAUGCGUAGAUAUCAGAAGGAACAUCAAUGGCGAAGGCAGCUUUCUGGACCAAUACUGACGCUGAGGUACGAAAGCGUGGGUAGCAAACAGGAUUAGAUACCCUGGUAGUCCACGCCGUAAACGAUGAUAACUAGCCGUUGGGGGGAUUUACCCUUUAGUGGCGAAGCUAACGCGUUAAGUUAUCCGCCUGGGGAGUACGGCCGCAAGGUUAAAACUCAAAUGAAUUGACGG